AACUUUCAACAACGGAUCUCUUGGUUCGGGCAUCGAUGAAGAACGCAGCGAAAUGCGAUACGUAAUGUGAAUUGCAGAAUUCAGUGAAUCAUCGAAUCUUUGAACGCACAUUGC
RNAcentral lists this ribosomal RNA (114 nucleotides) under Arthrographis arxii. RNAcentral describes it as "5.8S rRNA". It matches the Rfam family "5.8S ribosomal RNA", at positions 1 to 114 of the family's 154-position model. Rfam says of the family: 5.8S ribosomal RNA (5.8S rRNA) is a component of the large subunit of the eukaryotic ribosome. Lineage: Eukaryota; Fungi; Ascomycota; Dothideomycetes; Eremomycetales; Eremomycetaceae. The record is from RNAcentral.